This 40-nucleotide transfer RNA is filed under the name Dolichandra unguis-cati. RNAcentral describes it as "partial tRNA-Phe". Lineage: Eukaryota; Viridiplantae; Streptophyta; Magnoliopsida; Lamiales; Bignoniaceae. The record is from RNAcentral.
ACCAGGGUAGCUCACCUGGUACAGCAGAGGACUGAAAAUC